Molecule: ribosomal RNA, 458 nt
Filed under: uncultured bacterium
Lineage: Bacteria
Description: bacterial SSU rRNA
Rfam family: Bacterial small subunit ribosomal RNA
Source: RNAcentral
ACGUAGUUUGACUCCGUGGCUACAGAACGAACGCUGGCGGCAUGCCUAACACAUGCAAGUCGAACGAGACCUUCGGGUCUAGUGGCGCACGGGUGCGUAACGCGUGGGAACCUGCCUUUAGGUUCGGAAUAACUCAGAGAAAUUUGAGCUAAUACCGGAUGAUGUCUUCGGACCAAAGAUUUAUCGCCUUUAGAUGGGCCCGCGUAAGAUUAGCUAGUUGGUGGGGUAAAGGCCUACCAAGGCGACGAUCUUUAGCUGGUCUGAGAGGAUGAUCAGCCACACUGGGACUGAGACACGGCCCAGACUCCUACGGGAGGCAGCAGUGGGGAAUAUUGGACAAUGGGCGAAAGCCUGAUCCAGCAAUGCCGCGUGAGUGAUGAAGGCCUUAGGGUUGUAAAGCUCUUUUACCCGAGAUGAUAAUGACAGUAUCGGGAGAAUAAGCUCCGGCUAACUCCGUG